UACGUAGGGUGCGAGCGUUCAUCGGAAUUACUGGGCGUAAAGUGUGCGCAGGCGGCCGCGCAAGUCGAGUGUGAAAUCCCCGAGCUUAACUUGGGAAUUGCGCUCGAAACUACGUGGCUGGAGUGUGGCAGAGGAAGGUGGAAUUCCACGUGUAGCGGUGAAAUGCGUAGAGAUGUGGAGGAACACCGAUGGCGAAGGCAGCCUUCUGGGCCAACACUGACGCUCAUGCACGAAAGCGUGGGGAGCAAACAGG
This 253-nucleotide ribosomal RNA is filed under the name uncultured bacterium. RNAcentral describes it as "partial 16S ribosomal RNA". It matches the Rfam family "Bacterial small subunit ribosomal RNA", at positions 524 to 776 of the family's 1533-position model. The record is from RNAcentral.